This 497-nucleotide ribosomal RNA is filed under the name uncultured bacterium. RNAcentral's name for it is "partial 16S ribosomal RNA". It matches the Rfam family "Bacterial small subunit ribosomal RNA", at positions 28 to 507 of the family's 1533-position model. The record is from RNAcentral.
GAUGAACGCUGGCGGUGUGCCUAAUACAUGCAAGUCGAGCGAACAGACGAGGAGCUUACUCCUCUGACGUUAGCGGCGGACGGGUGAGUAACACGUGGAUAACCUACCUAUAAGACUGGGAUAACUUCGGGAAACCGGAGCUAAUACCGGAUAACAUGUUGAACCGCAUGGUUCAACAGUGAAAGACGGUCUUGCUGUCACUUAUAGAUGGAUCCGCGUCGCAUUAGCUAGUUGGUAAGGUAACGGCUUACCAAGGCAACGAUGCGUAGCCGACCUGAGAGGGUGAUCGGCCACACUGGAACUGAGACACGGUCCAGACUCCUACGGGAGGCAGCAGUAGGGAAUCUUCCGCAAUGGGCGAAAGCCUGACGGAGCAACGCCGCGUGGGUGAAGAAGGUCUUCGGAUCGUAAAACUCUGUUAUUAGGGAAGAACAAAUGUGUAAGUAACUAUGCACGUCUUGACGGUACCUAAUCAGAAAGCCACGGCUAACUACGUG